This 386-nucleotide ribosomal RNA is filed under the name uncultured bacterium. RNAcentral describes it as "bacterial SSU rRNA". It matches the Rfam family "Bacterial small subunit ribosomal RNA", at positions 375 to 754 of the family's 1533-position model. The record is from RNAcentral.
GCGCAAGCCUGAUCCAGCAAUACCGCGUGUGUGAAGAAGGCCUGAGGGUUGUAAAGCACUUUCAAUGGGGAGGAAUACCCGCCGGCGAAUACCCGGCGGACUGACAUUACCCAUACAAGAAGCACCGGCUAACUCCGUGCCAGCAGCCGCGGUAAUACGGAGGGUGCAAGCGUUAAUCGGAAUUACUGGGCGUAAAGCGUGCGUAGGCGGUUGGCUAAGUCAGAUGUGAAAGCCCCGGGCUUAACCUGGGAACGGCAUUUGAAACUGGUCGACUCGAGUUUGGUAGAGGGGAGUGGAAUUUCAGGUGUAGCGGUGAAAUGCGUAGAGAUCUGAAGGAACACCAGUGGCGAAGGCGACUCCCUGGACCAAAACUGACGCUGAGGUAC